AGAAGAUACACCCAAGGGCUGGUAUUUCGAUCCUUCAUCUUCCUUCGUCUGCUGCCCAGAAUAAUCCCACUCCCCUCAAAACCGCUCAGCUGUGGAUGCGGUCCUUUGUACUGCCAGGACUGGGAGGAAGCUGGCUGGAAGGUGGGAACCCCACCGCUAGGAGACAUGGAAACCAGGUACUGUGAAUUUUCUCCCAGUAGAUUAUGGCUGAAAGGAUUGGGCCCACUGGAAAUCCUCAAAAGCUAUCAGCUGAAACUAACCAGAAGCCAGAAGACAAGGCAACCCACAGAUGCAGCUUAUUCAUUCAGCCCCAACAGAGCAGAACAAAUAAGGCUGAAGAGUAGGUGUGCACUCACACAGAGAAUACAGCUGGCACAGAAGCUGACAAGAUGUUUCCGAAUGAGCUUUGCCAGGUGUUGGCACAUUUGUGGGAUCACCAUGGAUACAAGUUCUGCUCCUCAAUUUUUAAGGCAAGAAUCUUAAUUUCACCAGUUAUCUAAUGGUAGCCAAGUUCUACUUACAACACCCAAACUUACCAAGUUUAGAAUAUACAUACGUACAAACUUACUGUAAAGGUGAUAUCCAUUCAUAUGUUAUAUUUUCCCAAUUAAAGAAUAUUUUGCAUGACUUGAAAUAGAAAAAAUAAUAAACACACUAAUAUUCAGCUUUUACAUGACUUCCAUAUUUGACGUUUUGACAAAGGAAAGAGAAGUAAAAGAGAAGCAAAAGGCUAUGUGAUGAAGUGGGAAGAAUGUGGUGUUUUUGAAAUCAAACAGCCCAGAGUACCAAUUUCAACUAUACUUGUCAUAACCUUAUUUCUCUAUGAACCAGGGAUGACAGGCC
This 843-nucleotide long non-coding RNA is filed under the name Capra hircus (goat). RNAcentral's name for it is "lncRNA (ENSCHIG00000007463.1)". Lineage: Eukaryota; Metazoa; Chordata; Mammalia; Artiodactyla; Bovidae. The record is from RNAcentral.